RNAcentral lists this unclassified non-coding RNA (353 nucleotides) under soil metagenome. RNAcentral's name for it is "partial contains 5.8S ribosomal RNA, internal transcribed spacer 2, and large subunit ribosomal RNA". The stretch from base 1 to 120 matches the Rfam family "5.8S ribosomal RNA", at positions 35 to 154 of the family's 154-position model. The record is from RNAcentral.
GAUGAAGAACGUAGCGAAAUGCGAUAAGUAAUGUGAAUUGCAGAAUUCAGUGAAUCAUCGAAUCUUUGAACGCACAUUGCGCCCGCCAGUAUUCUGGCGGUCAUGCCUGUUCGAGCGUCAUUACAACCCUCAGGCCCCCGGGCCUGGCGUUGGGGAUCGGCGGAAGCCCCCUGCGGGCACAACGCCGUCCCCCAAAUACAGUGGCGAUCCCGCCGCAGCUUCCAUUGCGUAGUAGCUAACACCUCGCAACUGGAGAGCGGCGCGGCCACGCCGUAAAACACCCAACUUCUGAAUGUUGACCUCGAAUCAGGUAGGAAUACCCGCUGAACUUAAGCAUAUCAAUAAGCGGAGGA